UACGUAGGGGGCAAGCGUUGUCCGGAAUUAUUGGGCGUAAAGAGCGUGUAGGCGGUCCGGUAAGUCAGCUGUGAAAAUCCAGGGCUCAACCCUGGACCUGCAGUGGGUACGGGCAGACUAGAGUGCGGUAGGGGAGAUCGGAAUUCCUGGUGUAGCGGUGAAAUGCGCAGAUAUCAGGAGGAACACCGGUGGCGAAGGCGGCUCACUGGCCCGUUACCGACGCUCAGGCGCGACAGCGUGGGGAGCAAACAGG
RNAcentral lists this ribosomal RNA (253 nucleotides) under uncultured bacterium. Its description in RNAcentral is "partial 16S ribosomal RNA". It matches the Rfam family "Bacterial small subunit ribosomal RNA", at positions 524 to 776 of the family's 1533-position model. The record is from RNAcentral.